GGUGUUAGAAACGGGUGGCGAGGCGGCCCCCUGGACAAGACUGACGCUCAGGUGCGAAAGCGUGGGGAGCAAACAGGAUUAAAUACCCUGGUAGUCCACGCCGUAAACGAUGUCGACUUGGAGGUUGUGCCCUUGAGGCGUGGCUUCCGGAGCUAACGCGUUAAGUCGACCGCCUGGGGAGUACGGCCGCAAGGUUAAAACUCAAAUGAAUUGACGGGGGCCCGCACAAGCGGUGGAGCAUGUGGUUUAAUUCGAUGCAACGCGAAGAACCUUACCUACUCUUGACAUCCAGAGAACUUUCCAGAGAUGGAUUGGUGCCUUCGGGAACUCUGAAACAGGUGCUGCAUGGCUGUCGUCAGCUCGUGUUGUGAAAUGUUGGGUUAAGUCCCGCAACGAGCGCAACCCUUAUCCUUUGUUGCCAGCGGUUAGGCCGGGAACUCAAAGGAGACUGCCAGUGAUAAACUGGAGGAAGGUGGGGAUGACGUCAAGUCAUCAUGGCCCUUACGAGUAGGGCUACACACGUGCUACAAUGGCGCAUACAAAGAGAAGCGACCUCGCGAGAGCAAGCGGACCUCAUAAAGUGCGUCGUAGUCCGGAUUGGAGUCUGCAACUCGACUCCAUGAAGUCGGAAUCGCUAGUAAUCGUAGAUCAGAAUGCUACGGUUGAAUACGUUUCCCGGGCCUUGUACACACCGCCCGUCACACCAUGGGAGUGGGUUGCAAAAGAAGUAGGUAGCUUAACCUUCGGGAGGGCGCUUACCACUUUUGUGAUCAUGACUGGGGUGAAGUCGUAACAGGGUA
This 800-nucleotide ribosomal RNA is filed under the name uncultured bacterium. RNAcentral describes it as "bacterial SSU rRNA". It matches the Rfam family "Bacterial small subunit ribosomal RNA", at positions 698 to 1498 of the family's 1533-position model. The record is from RNAcentral.